This 294-nucleotide ribosomal RNA is filed under the name uncultured bacterium. RNAcentral's name for it is "partial 16S ribosomal RNA". The record is from RNAcentral.
GGACUACUGGGGUUUCUAAUCCCGUUCGAUUCCCACGCUUUCGUGUUUCAGCGUCAGGAGUGUGCCAGUAAAGUGCCUUCGCAUUUGGUGUUCCCCAUGAUAUCAACGGAUUUCACCCCUACACCAUGAGUUCCCUUUACCUCUCACAUCCUCUAAGUCGUGCCGUUUCCUCUGCAUUUUCUGGGUUAAGCCCAAAAACUUUAACAAAAGACUAACACGACCGCCUACACACCCUUUACGCCCAGUGAUUCCGGAUAAUGCUUGGGGCCUCUGUAUUACCGCGGCUGCUGGCAC